Molecule: ribosomal RNA, 449 nt
Filed under: uncultured bacterium
Lineage: Bacteria
Description: bacterial SSU rRNA
Rfam family: Bacterial small subunit ribosomal RNA
Source: RNAcentral
AACGAACGCUGGCGGCAUGCCUAACACAUGCAAGUCGAACGAGACCUUCGGGUCUAGUGGCGCACGGGUGCGUAACGCGUGGGAAUCUGCCCUUGGGUUCGGAAUAACAGUUAGAAAUGACUGCUAAUACCGGAUAAUGUCUUCGGACCAAAGAUUUAUCGCCCAGGGAUGAGCCCGCGUAGGAUUAGCUAGUUGGUGAGGUAAAGGCUCACCAAGGCGACGAUCCUUAGCUGGUCUGAGAGGAUGAUCAGCCACACUGGGACUGAGACACGGCCCAGACUCCUACGGGAGGCAGCAGUGGGGAAUAUUGGACAAUGGGCGAAAGCCUGAUCCAGCAAUGCCGCGUGAGUGAUGAAGGCCUUAGGGUUGUAAAGCUCUUUUACCCGGGAUGAUAAUGACUGUACCGGGAGAAUAAGCCCCGGCUAACUCCGUGCCAGCAGCCGCGGUAA